This 236-nucleotide ribosomal RNA is filed under the name uncultured bacterium. Its description in RNAcentral is "partial 16S ribosomal RNA". It matches the Rfam family "Bacterial small subunit ribosomal RNA", at positions 99 to 334 of the family's 1533-position model. The record is from RNAcentral.
CGCACGGGUGAGUAACACGUAUCCAACCUGCCGUCUACUCUUGGCCAGCCUUCUGAAAGGAAGAUUAAUCCAGGAUGGCAUCAUGAGUUCACAUGUCCGCAUGAUUAAAGGUAUUUUCCGGUAGACGAUGGGGAUGCGUUCCAUUAGAUAGUAGGCGGGGUAACGGCCACCUAGUCAACGAUGGAUAGGGGUUCUGAGAGGAAGGUCCCCCACAUUGGAACUGAGACACGGUCCAA